UUCGCAAUGCCCGAAAGGGUGACGAAGCGACGCCGCGUGCGGGAAGAAGGCCUUCGGGUUGUAAACCGCUGUCGGGAGUUAGGAAAUGCAAGGAUGUUAAUAGCGUCUUUGCUUGACUAAGGCUCCGGAGGAAGCCACGGCUAACUCUGUGCCAGCAGCCGCGGUAAUACAGAGGCGGCAAGCGUUGUUCGGAAUUAUUGGGCGUAAAGAGCACGUAGGCGGCCGUGUAAGUCGGUUGUGAAAGCCUUCCGCUCAACGGGAGAACGGCAUCCGAUACUGCAUGGCUUGAGUGCGGGAGGGGAGAGUGGAACUUCUGGUGGAGCGGUGAAAUGCGUAGAUAUCAGAAGGAACACCGGCGGCGAAGGCGACUCUCUGGCCCGUAACUGACGCUGAGUGUGCGAAAGCUAGGGGAGCAAACGGGAUUAGAUACCCCGGUAGUCCUAGCCGUAAACGAUGGGCACUAAGUAGAGGGGUUUU
RNAcentral lists this ribosomal RNA (477 nucleotides) under uncultured anaerobic ammonium-oxidizing bacterium. RNAcentral describes it as "bacterial SSU rRNA". It matches the Rfam family "Bacterial small subunit ribosomal RNA", at positions 365 to 832 of the family's 1533-position model. The record is from RNAcentral.